GCAAUGCCGCGUGAGUGAAGAAGGCCUAUCGGGUUGUAAAGCUCUUUUGUCAGGGAAGAAACGGUGAGGGCUAAUAUCCUUUGCUAAUGACGGUACCUGAAGAAUAAGCACCGGCUAACUACGUGCCAGCAGCCGCGGUAAUACGUAGGGUGCAAGCGUUAAUCGGAAUUACUGGGCGUAAAGCGUGCGCAGGCGGUUAUGUAAGUCAGAUGUGAAAUCCCCGGGCUCAACCUGGGAAUGGCAUUUGAGACUGCAUGGCUAGAGUGUGUCAGAGGGGGGUAGAAUUCCACGUGUAGCAGUGAAAUGCGUAGAGAUGUGGAGGAAUACCGAUGGCGAAGGCAGCCCCCUGGGAUAACACUGACGCUCAUGCACGAAAGCGUGGGGAGCAAACAGGAUUAGAUACCCUGGUAGUCCACGCCCUAAACGAUGUCUACUAGUUGUCGGGACUUAAUUGUCUUGGUAACGCAGCUAACGCGUGAAGUAGACCGCCUGGGGAGUACGGUCGCAAGAUUAAAACUCAAAGGAAUUGACGGGGACCCGCACAAGCGGUGGAUGAUGUGGAUUAAUUCGAUGCAACGCGAAAAACCUUACCUACCCUUGACAUGUACGGAACCUCUGA
This 619-nucleotide ribosomal RNA is filed under the name Herminiimonas sp. Ri2Ps_5117. RNAcentral describes it as "bacterial SSU rRNA". It matches the Rfam family "Bacterial small subunit ribosomal RNA", at positions 391 to 1002 of the family's 1533-position model. The record is from RNAcentral. Lineage: Bacteria; Pseudomonadati; Pseudomonadota; Betaproteobacteria; Burkholderiales; Oxalobacteraceae.